RNAcentral lists this ribosomal RNA (422 nucleotides) under uncultured eukaryote. RNAcentral describes it as "SSU rRNA". It matches the Rfam family "Eukaryotic small subunit ribosomal RNA", at positions 592 to 1018 of the family's 1831-position model. The record is from RNAcentral.
CAAUAGCGUAUAUUAAAGUUGUUGCGGUUAAAAAGCUCGUAGUUGGAUUUCUGCCGAGGACGACCGGUCCGCCCUCUGGGUGAGUAUCUGGCUCGGCCUGGGCAUCUUCUUGGAGAACGUAGCUGCACUUGACUGUGUGGUGCGGUAUCCAGGACUUUUACUUUGAGGAAAUCAGAGUGUUCACGGCAGGCAAGCGCCUUGAAUACAUUAGCAUGGAAUAAUAAUAUAGGACUUUGGUUUUAUUUUGUUGGUUUCUAGAACUAAAGUAAUGAUUAAUAGGGAUAAUUGGGGGCAUUUGUAUUAACGCGUCAGAGGUGGAAUUCUUGGAUUGCGUUACGACAAACUACUGCGAAAGCAUUUGCCAAGGAUGUUUUCAUUGAUCAAGAACGAAAGUAUGGGGAUCGAAGACGAUCAGAUACCAU